GAUGAACGCUGGCGGCGUGCCUAAUACAUGCAAGUCGAGCGAACGGACGAGAAGCUUGCUUCUCUGAUGUUAGCGGCGGACGGGUGAGUAACACGUGUAUAACCUACCUAUAAGACUGGGAUAACUUCGGGAAACCGGAGCUAAUACCGGAUGAUAUUUUGAACCGCAUGGUUCAAAAGUGAAAGACGGUCUUGCUGUCACUUAUAGAUGGAUCCGCGCUGCAUUAGCUAGUUGGUAAGGUAACGGCUUACCAAGGCAACGAUGCAUAGCCGACCUGAGAGGGUGAUCGGCCACACUGGAACUGAGACACGGUCCAGACUCCUACGGGAGGCAGCAGUAGGGAAUCUUCCGCAAUGGGCGAAAGCCUGACGGAGCAACGCCGCGCGAGUGAUGAAGGUCUUCGGAUCGUAAAACUCUGUUAUUAGGGAAGAACAUAUGUGUAAGUAACUGUGCACAUCUUGACGGUACCUAAUCAGAAAGCCACGGCUAACUACGUG
Molecule: ribosomal RNA, 497 nt
Filed under: uncultured bacterium
Lineage: Bacteria
Description: partial 16S ribosomal RNA
Rfam family: Bacterial small subunit ribosomal RNA
Source: RNAcentral